UACGGAGGGGGCGAGCGUUAUUCGGAAUUACUGGGUGUAAAGGGUGCGUAGGCGGCGCGGUAAGUCGGGUGUGAAAUCUCGGAGCUUAACUCCGAAACUGCAUUCGAUACUGCCGUGCUUGAGGACUGGAGAGGAGACUGGAAUUUACGGUGUAGCGGUGAAAUGCGUAGAUAUCGUAAGGAAGACCAGUGGCGAAGGCGGGUCUCUGGACAGUUCCUGACGCUGAGGCACGAAGGCCAGGGGAGCAAACGGG
RNAcentral lists this ribosomal RNA (253 nucleotides) under uncultured bacterium. RNAcentral describes it as "partial 16S ribosomal RNA". It matches the Rfam family "Bacterial small subunit ribosomal RNA", at positions 524 to 776 of the family's 1533-position model. The record is from RNAcentral.